GAGGCAGCAGCAAUUUUAUCUUCUGGGCACCUUAUCCUCAGACCUCAUUUUAUCAAUACAUACGGACUGUCUACAACCACGUAAUAUCCUUUUCAUCAGCCUUAUGAAAUUUUCCCCCAAUUUAUCCAAGUCAGGAUUUCAGUAUGCAGAAGUCUAAUGUCAUCUUGGAGAGUUCAUUGUGCCUCCCCCAUAUCCAAGACCAUUUACUAAAACCUUAGUUCAGUCUUUAAAGAGUCACAAGAUCCUAUUAUGCCUAGUUUUUUUUCCAGUCUUUUAAGUCUAUUCCUUACCUUGCCAAAAAAGUACCUGUUUCUAUGGUUUAACAAAUGGAGCUUAGAAUAUGGAACUAUGGUAAGUGCUCUUUAGAAUUUAAAAUAAGUUACAUGUACUGGUUUUCCUUUAUUUUGUAGUUUUGUUCUCAAAGAAUUCCAGAUAUGAUUUUUUUCCAGACAAAAAUACCUGCUACAUGCUUCCUUCUGUAUGAAUACAUGAGACCUACCUUCAUUCAUGUUUCCUCUAUGAAGCUUUCCCUGCACUCCAAACACAGAGCUGAGACUUCCACCUAAUGUAGAAAGCUAGCACGAGCCGGCGCUGACAGAUGGAAGACUUGAGAUGUUACAAGAUUAUAUAUGGAAACACAAAAGGAGUGGAGUUGCUGGGUCAUAUGGCAAUUCAUUUGAGGAACUGAGAAGCUUAUUCCAUGGAGGCUGAACUGUUUUAUAUUCCCACCAGCAACGUGUAAGGUUCCAGUUUAUCUACAUCAUCACCAACACUUGCUAUUUUCCAUUUCAUUAAUGAUAGCCAUCCUAGUGGAUUUGAAGUGGUACCUUAUUAUCGUGGUUUUGAUUGCAUUCUCUAUUGACUAAUGAUAUCGAGCAUCUUUUCAUGUAUUUUUUGGUCAUUUGGUCAUUUUUCUUUUUUAAUUUUAAAAUUUUGAGACAGGCUCUCACUAUGUUGCCCAGGUGGUCUCAAACUCCUGGGUUCCAGCGAUGCUCAUGCCUCAGUCUCCCAAAGGGGUGGGAUUACAGGUGUGAGCCACUUUGCCCAGCCCAUUUGUAUAUCUCCUUUGGAGAAUAUCUAGGUUCUUUUGAAGGUAGCUGCAUAUAAACUAGCCAAAUUAACAGACUGUGGUUUUUAGAUGGCUUUCCAUAUCUACAAGAACUAUUUAGUUCUCAAAACUGGGAAGAAAUGUUUCAGAGGCAUCAUUAAUUCAUAAUCUAAAAAUUUAUCUUGGGUUUCCUUUUUUCCCCCAGAUUCUGUAUCCUCCAUAGUCCUAUUCAUGACAUGGGUCGUUCAUCUCUGUAUUCUAAACCCUCAAUGAACUGUAGACAGUAAUAAAUAUUUAUUGGAUGAAUGGUCUCUCAUCAGCCACCUUUUCUUUUUUUUUUUUUGAGACAGAGUCUCACUCUGUCACUCAGGCUGGAGUGCAGUGGCGCGAUCUCGGUUCACUGCAACCUCUGCCUCCCGGGUUCAAGUGAUUCUCCCACCUGAGCCUCCCGAGUAGCUGGGAUUACAGGUGCACGCCACCUUGUCUGGCUAAUUUUUGUAUUUUUAGUAGAGACAGGGUUUCACCGUGUUGGUCAGGCUGGUCUCAAACGCCUGACCUCAGGUGAUCUGCCCGACUUGGCCUCCCAAAGUGCUGGGAUUACAGGUGUGAGCCACCGCACCUGGCCUCCAGCCUCUUUUCUUUUUUUUUUUUGAGACAAGUCUAACUCUGUCACCCAGGCUGGAGAGCAGCGGCAUGAUCAUGGCUCACUGCUGCCUC
This is a long non-coding RNA of Homo sapiens (human), 1765 nucleotides long. Ensembl annotates it as cholesterol induced regulator of metabolism RNA. Its record names the gene CHROMR. NCBI's taxonomy places the organism in Eukaryota, Metazoa, Chordata, Mammalia, Primates, Hominidae. The record is from Ensembl.